Small nuclear RNA from Pan paniscus (pygmy chimpanzee), 62 nucleotides. Its record names the gene U7. It matches the Rfam family "U7 small nuclear RNA". Rfam says of the family: Animal histone pre-mRNAs are spliced by a different mechanism than nuclear pre-mRNAs and self-splicing introns. The record is from Ensembl. NCBI's taxonomy places the organism in Eukaryota, Metazoa, Chordata, Mammalia, Primates, Hominidae.
AAGUGUUACAGUACUUUCAGAAUUGGUCUGUUAGGCUUUCCAGUUUUCUCUGGAAAGCUCCU